UACAGAGGUCCCAAGCGUUGUUCGGAUUCACUGGGCGUAAAGGGUGCGCAGGUGGGUUUGCAAGUUCGAUGUGAAAGCCCCGGGCUCAACCUGGGAAUGGCGAUGGAUACUGGCUCGCUAGAGUGCGGUAGAGGAGAGUGGAAUUCCCGGUGUAGCAGUGAAAUGCGUAGAGAUCGGGAGGAACAUCAGUUGCGAAGGCGGCUCUCUGGACCAGCACUGACACUGAGGCACGAAAGCGUGGGGAGCAAACAGG
Molecule: ribosomal RNA, 253 nt
Filed under: uncultured bacterium
Lineage: Bacteria
Description: partial 16S ribosomal RNA
Rfam family: Bacterial small subunit ribosomal RNA
Source: RNAcentral